Molecule: ribosomal RNA, 387 nt
Filed under: uncultured organism
Description: bacterial SSU rRNA
Rfam family: Bacterial small subunit ribosomal RNA
Source: RNAcentral
UGCCUAACACAUGCAAGUCGAGCGAUGAAGCCCUUCGGGGUGAAUUAGCGGCGGACGGGUGAGUAACACGUGGGUAACCUGCCUUAUAGAGGGGGAUAGCCUUCCGAAAGGAAGAUUAAUACCGCAUGAAAUGUUUUUAUCGCAUGGUAGAAACAUCAGAGGAGUAAUCCGCUAUAAGAUGGACCCGCGGCGCAUUAGCUAGUUGGUGAGGUAACGGCCCACCAAGGCGACGAUGCGUAGCCGACCUGAGAGGGUGGUCGGCCACAUUGGAACUGAGACACGGUCCAGACUCCUACGGGAGGCAGCAGUGGGGAAUAUUGCGCAAUGGGGGAAACCCUGACGCAGCAACGCCGCGUGAAUGAAGAAGGCCUUAGGGUUGUAAAGUUC